RNAcentral lists this long non-coding RNA (1192 nucleotides) under Ananas comosus (pineapple). Its description in RNAcentral is "long non-coding RNA (ACOM_LNC022539)". Lineage: Eukaryota; Viridiplantae; Streptophyta; Magnoliopsida; Poales; Bromeliaceae. The record is from RNAcentral.
AAGAAAACUGUUAAAAAAUAAAUAGUUCACUAACGGAUUUUAACCAGAGGGACAUAUCUGCAUAACUUAGGACUUUUGCAGGGACAACUUAUGAAAUUUUCGUUUUGCAGGAAUAUUUCUGCAAUUCACUAUGUUUGCAGAGACGUGUAUACAAAUAACCCUUUAAUUUAUAUAGAACAUUAUCUACAAUUUGAUACAAAAAUAUGUCUAAUAGUUCAAUACAAAAUAAUUAUAUGAAAUACGGUAUAAUAAUAUAAAUAAAAAUAACUUAUGAGUUGAAUAUCUAAUCUUUUCAACCUCGCAUGUCUUCUUUUCCACCUAUAAUCUCCAUAUUAUUCUUUUUCAUUUAUGCGAUCAAAAAAUGAAUAAAUUAUAUAGGCAAAUAUUAGAUUAAAUUAUCCAAUCAUAUAUAACUAAAAUCAAAAUUUUGUAUAAACAAUAAUUUUCCACCUAUAAUCUCCAUAUUAUUCUUUUUCAUUAAUGCGAUAAAAAAAUAAAUAAAUUAUAUAGGCAAAUAUUGGAUUAAACUAUCCAAUCAUACAUAACUAAAAUCAAAAUUUUGUAUAAAUAAUAAUUUUUUACCUUAAAAAUAUUCUGUAUAUUUUUUCAAUCACACAAUUAAUGGUAAGGUAGGCAAUGGCGGGUGCGUGCUGUUACUUGGUAACUUGGAGGGCUUAAAGUUUGUCCGCUUGGGGUGAGAGAGAGAGAGAGAGAGAGAGAGAGAGAGAGAGAAAGAGAUUAGGGAUUUAGAGCUUUGUGGAAGAAAGUGAUGAAGAGAGUUUAAAUUUAGUAAAAUUUUGCCCUUUUGUUUGUCUAUUGGAUUUGUUUUUAUAGACCAGCAACAUUAGCCUAAUUUUAACUAAACUCAGGUUAUAUAUAUAUAUAUAUAUAUAUAUAGAGCAGGGCUGCUGUGCUCUUAGGAGCACGGAGGCCUCCGUGCUCCUGAGCCGUUUUCGAUGAUGGAAUUUUCGAAUUGACGAUCGGCUCCGUUAAACUUGAUCUACCGUAUUUAAAGUUUCUAGAAAAUAAUUUUUGCGAUUUUUCGAUAUCAUUUACCUAGCAAUCGAAAGGAUUCAAAAUCAAUAAUUUUUAACGGCUGAAAAUAAAAAUCCUAUAAAAAGUGGUGAUAUAGCACUAAAAUUUUCGAUCAGAAAUAUAGAUCUUGUUGUAGAUAGUAUAAAGAAUUUUCUAU